RNAcentral lists this long non-coding RNA (971 nucleotides) under Androctonus crassicauda. The record is from RNAcentral. Lineage: Eukaryota; Metazoa; Arthropoda; Arachnida; Scorpiones; Buthidae.
AGAAUUGGAAAGGAUGAAACUCCAUUUGUCAUUUUCUUGAAAAAGACUCUAAGUGCUAUUGCCAGAAUACAGUAAUGUGGAAAGCUAAAUCAAGUGUUUCUGUGAUUGAUAUCCCGAGGUGUCAAGUUUAUGUGAUCCACAAUGCUUCUUUCAGUCUCUUCUGAAUAUUUUCUAUCGACAAUUUUAUUACUACUUAUUUCUUUUGCAAUACUUUCGCACUUCUUUUACUUGUUAUUUCGAACCUAUUUAGAACCUCUUUGCACUAAGCGAGAACACAUUGGCGAAUGUUUUCUGGCCAAUGUGUUGUACUAUUUCUUCUUCAGCAGUAGGCAAUGUGUAUGCAAAUGAACAUUGCCUUCUGCUUUGAUCAGGAUGCUAGUAUUUUCCAUCUACGAAUGAUAGGAGUUGCGUGAAAUAGUCCCAAAAUGAAAGUUGUUUGGGAAGUGUAGUCUUUCAUUUUGUAAUAUUCAGUAAAAAGCUUCAUCUGUUGGUCAUAAUUGAUAGUCCCUCACUGGUAAUGACACCUGCAAACUUUCUGAAACAGCAAACACUAUUAUUGAUCACAUACAUACUGACAUGAGUACCGAAGUAAUCAUCAAAACGCCAACAACUACAAAACAAUAAAGCUAUAACAACGAACUUACCAGUCGUGAAGGAGGGUGCUUACUUGAUAUUUUCUUUUUCUUUGCCGUUUCAUAUUCUUGCCCACGUUUUCUCAUUAUCUUUUCCAUUUCCAUCACACUACCUUCUCCACAUUUCCAUUUAAGAGGCAUAAUAAUAAAUCAUUCACCCUGAAUGUUAAUCGAACAGUGAAUUUGAUCAAAAAUGAAGGCAGGACGUGGCACUUUCAGACAUUUUAAGGAAACGAUGCAUGGAGUUACAGCGAGUGAAAUCUUGCAAUAGAUACAAGAAACUAACCAAUUGUCAGGAAGUUUUCAGCCUUUUUUUAUUGCAUUGGCAUUGAAACUUGC